Molecule: long non-coding RNA, 3314 nt
Filed under: Homo sapiens (human)
Lineage: Eukaryota; Metazoa; Chordata; Mammalia; Primates; Hominidae
Description: GPR55 cis regulatory suppressor of immune response RNA
Source: RNAcentral
AGAGGAGGGAGAGAUCAGAGUGACUAGUGCAGGCUUCCUGGGGAACCAUUUGAGCUUUGAAGGUGGGGAAGAGGAAUGUCAGAGAGUGGGCAAAAUACAACAGGAAAGGUCCAAAUUCACCCUCUGAGGGCCCGGGGCACGGGGGCAGCCUGCUCUCCUCCUGGGGCCCUGUUCCCUGUGGGGACUGGAAGAGAGGCUUUGAGUCUAGGGCCUGGGGCAGCCAGGACUGACGGGGGUGCAGUCCUAGAAGGGUCGGCAGUCACGGUGGCCCACCAUGGCAUCUCCGUAUCCUUGCUGCAUGCUGCACCCACUCCAGCUGCCAGAGCACGGAGGCAGAGACGUGGGAGCCGAUGAAGGUCGCACGCCAGCCUCCCACCUGUGAGACAAAGGGCCCUGUCACUGGAAGCCACGUCCAGCCUGGCCCCGCAGGAGCCAGGGCUCUGCGCCUAACGGAGGACUGAUGGGAAAGGGAAGGCUGGCAGCAGUGAGGUAGAUGAUGACCGGCCCCAUAAACAGCCACCAAGGGUCACCCUCUCCCUCCCCAGCCCUGAAGGCCAAGAAAUGGGACUGGGCUCCUUGGAUUUAUGACCUUCUGGCUCCUGCAGAGAGAGGAGGACUGGGGCUUGACAAGGACACGCAGGGGCUAAGGACUGUCCUUGGAUCUCAGUAGGACAGCUGACCUUCCCUCCACCCAAUGACUGCUCCAGUCUGAUCGUUCCUGGCCACCUGAUAAUCUCUUUGUGCAAACACCAGGAAGCCCUGGUUAGAGGUGUGGACACCAGGUGUUCUUGAGGAGGACAGUGGUGACUCAGUUUUAUCUGACCCCAUGCUCUCAAGUUCCUUUUCUGUGAGACACUUCUUAUGUGCUACUUUGGACCCUCUCACUUAUCUGUGGGCCAUUGGCCACUGGCCCCAGCCACAGCUGAGACCACCAACUCUGCAUGGACUCAGACAGGCUUCACCCAGGCACACCCAGCAGCCCCUGCCUCAGGUCCCAGCUAUGCACCCCUUAGGCUUGCCUGGAUACUAGGAUGGGAGACACUGCAUCCAUCCAUCCACGACCAGCAAGUAGAGGCAAUUAAUACCCUUCAGGCGACCCAACGCGAGCUGGGAGCCUGUGCACAAAUUAUUCUCCUUUUCUCCCAAAAGGAUUGUGCCGAGAAACAUUUGUGCAGCUUCCCGGAGGAUGGCCCUUGGGGUCGAGCAAGCAGUUAUGUUUGUUACCAAGCCUCGGCCAGCUCCAUAACACACCCUGGAGUUGGCACCACUUCCUUCCCAGCUACACUCCCCUUUCUCUCACACCUGCUCCCUGGGGUCACCUCCCUACCAAAGGAGGGGCACAGGAGCCUUUGUUUCCCGCUCUGCUUUCCAAGAAACCCAAACCAAGCCAUGCUGAGUUCCUUCCAGAGCUCCACUUCCACUUCACGGGAUCCUCUUAGUACCACAGUCAGCACCCAACAUGCCUCUGAGAUGGGCGUGUGAUCCUGACUGGCCAGUCGGCGCCUUAUUUCUCUGGCCACAGAACUUGGCUCAGGAGAUGACAUGUGACCAAUCCGAAUUUUCCCUGGGGACUGAUACGUGGACACCAGGGACCUCGUGCACCAGUAAGGUCGCUGCCUUCCUUCUCUGCCAGAGAUGAUUCUGUCUCAUCCAAUCAAGACUUGAGUGGACUCCAGCUUCCCAGAAAGCCUUUCUCCAUCAUCCCAGCCCCACGAGAUCUUACCCGCUUCACUGGUAACACCCAGAAUCCUCAGCACAACUGCUACCACCAGGUACUGCCUUGCUCCUUUACACUGUUAUGUUGUUUGAAUCUGUUAUGCAGCUGAUUAUGUGUAUUCCUAUUUCUACUAGGCACACAUGGUUCUACCUGGCUAACUACAGUGGAUUCAUUGCCCAAAUGAGGUAGGCAGCUGCUUCAACAUAUAGAGAGGCCAGGUAUCCAAUAUAAGGAACCACAUUAUCCCAGUUUGCCUGGAACUUUCCAAGCUUUAACACUGAGUAGCCUUGGUCUCCCUCAGUCCUGGACAGACUGGGACAUUUGGUCACCUUGUUCAAUGAGCAGGAGCAGGAGGAGAGUGUUGUCUAGGAGAAGCCCCCUUUUAUUUAUUUCCCUUCUGAGACAGGGUCUCGCUCUGUCACCCAGGUUGGGGUCCAGUGGCAGGAUCACAGCUCAUUGCAGCCUCAACCUCCCGAGCUCAUGCAAUCCUCCCACCUCAGCCCCCCAAGUAGCUGGGAUGACAAGCACACCACCACACCCAGUUAUUAUUAUUAUUAUUAUUAUUUUUAAUAGAGACAAGGUCUCACUACAUUGCCCAGGCUGGUCUCAAACUCCUGAGCUCACGCGAUCCUACCACCUUGGCCUCCCAAAGUGCUUACAGGUGUGAGUCACUGCACCCGGCCGGGAAGCCUCUUUUUAAAGUAAAGGACAUAGACUGCACAGAUUCAGCCCAGACUCCAUCUAUUUAUCUAUUUAAUUGAGCUCCUACAAUUUAUUGAGCUUCUACUAUGUGUCUGACACUCUGCUAAGUUCUGAAGAUCCAGAGAUGAACAAGACCUAGUCCCUUCCCUGAAGAGUUUAUAGUUCAGAGCAGGCAUUAGGGAAAUUUUUUGCAAAGGGCUAGAUUACAAGUGUUUUCAGUUUUACAAACCAUACAGUCUCUGUCAUAACUACCGUGGUCUGCUGUAGCUCCAAAGCAGCCACUGCAGACAGUGUGAAUGGACAUGACUGUGUCCCCACAAGACUUGAAGGGCAGCAGCCUCCUGGCACAGAGGUGGAGAAAAACACACAAAGCCUCAGAGCACCUGCCAGGCCCCUGCUGAAGGUAGCAGCUCCAGGCGGCCCCAUAGGCGGCAUCUCACAUGGCCCCAUCUCCUCCGCCGUGGUUGACUGGACCAGGGAGGAGCACGUGAUUCACAGGUAGCCCAUCCUCAGGCUGCCAGUGAUGGACACGGGUGGAGAGGCCAGCAGAGAUAGUGGCCGCCAGCUGGGACAACGGUGGUAGGAGACAGAGACCGAAAGGCAGGAAGGAUAGAGCAGAGCCAAUAGACUUCCCUGGACCCUCAAGCCCUUCCAAACCUGAGCCGUGUUCCAGGCCCCAUGGGGACCUCCCGGGAGGUCUUGCUGUGAGCCUGUCCUGGGACCCGGGCAGGCUUGCACGGAGCUGAGAGUCCUGUCUUCUUUAUUUCCAUGUACAUCCUUCAACAAAACAGCUUUUGCUUCCUUCUUUCUUGUUUAACAAUUCAGUAAUUUUUAGAAAAUUUAUAAAGUUGUGCAACCAUGCAACCAUCACUGUCACCCAGCUUCCAUAAUAAAC